Molecule: long non-coding RNA, 733 nt
Filed under: Cavia porcellus (domestic guinea pig)
Lineage: Eukaryota; Metazoa; Chordata; Mammalia; Rodentia; Caviidae
Description: lncRNA (ENSCPOG00000032941.1)
Source: RNAcentral
CAGGUUUGGGGAUGGGGUGUCCUUUGGGCUAAAACUAAGCAAGGGUUUCUCAAUUUCUGCCCUUCUAGGACUGGCUGAAUUCCGCUCUUGGCUUCCAGGGCUGAAUUUUGCAAACACUCGGACUUCCCUACUUUGGCAGUAACCCCACCUCCUGAGUCCAGCUGUGACCCUGACAAUGUUUCCAAUCUUGCGCUCCCAGGAGGAAGGCCAAGUCUGCAGCAGGGGUGAUAAGGUCAAUUGAGAAGAACCCUCUCAGCAAAGGAUGCUGCAACCCUCAUCCCCCCCCCCCACUCCCCCGCAGCAGCACUGGAGCCAGCAGACAGGUAGCCCUGACUCUAUUUUGCAGCCGGGGAAACUGAGGCAGUGCACGGAUCCCGGUGGUCCCCCGGGUUGGCGGAAAAGGAGCGCGAACCACCGCGAGCGCGGAGAAAAGUUGGGGGGAGAAAGAGGGGGAAGAGGGAAGGCGGCACUGGUACUCUGCAGUGCACGGUGGUCCCCUGGGACAGCUCCCUCAAGCGCUCCCGCCCCACCGGAAGCGAGUGCCGGGGCCGCGUGGAGGCGACAUCCACUGGCCGGCGGGAACAUGGGACCGAGGGCGCUCCGGGAUGCCGCCCCUCCGUGGCCCCCCAGUCCUGAAUGCCCACAUCCCCGAUCUCGCGCCCUCCCGAGAACGCUAUCACUAGGGACCACCCACCCAGAAGCAAUCCAUGUCAAAGAGGAGGGCAGGUUCUGA